UACAGAGGUCUCAAGCGUUGUUCGGAAUCACUGGGCGUAAAGGGCGCGUAGGUGGCGUGGCAAGUCAGAUGUGAAAUCCGGAGGCUCAACCUCCGAAUUGCAUCCGAUACUCCCAUGCUAGAGAACUGGAGGGGAGUCUGGAAUUCUCGGUGUAGCAGUGAAAUGCGUAGAUAUCGAGAGGAACACUAGUGGCGAAGGCGAGACUCUGGACAGUUACUGACACUGAUGCACGAAGGUCAGGGGAGCGAACGGG
This 253-nucleotide ribosomal RNA is filed under the name uncultured bacterium. RNAcentral describes it as "partial 16S ribosomal RNA". It matches the Rfam family "Bacterial small subunit ribosomal RNA", at positions 524 to 776 of the family's 1533-position model. The record is from RNAcentral.